GGAGUCAAAACAAACUUUGGCAAAACACAGCAUCGACAUUCCUUUCGAACUGAAGGCAGAAUCCUGACUGUGGCAUGUGCUUUUGCACAGAAAAUUAAGAUUUUGGAGGUACCUAUUUUGAAGAAAAAGUGUAUAGAGAGAUAAAGCUGCUAUCCAUCACGGACCUGCAUGAUCCAUCUAACCUCUGAAUCACAGCUGUGUGACUGGAAUGAGCUGUGAAUGAAGAUGUGUCUGUCACAACAUUUGGAGAAUUUCAGGAUUCAUUGAUGAAUAAAAAGUUCAAAACAACAGCAUUUAUUUAAAAACAAUUUCUUUUUGUACCAUUGUAAAAACUAUACUGCCAUUUUUUUAAUUUAAUGCAUCCUUGCUGAAUAAAGUUAUUAAUAA
Long non-coding RNA from Cyprinus carpio carpio, 387 nucleotides. NCBI's taxonomy places the organism in Eukaryota, Metazoa, Chordata, Actinopteri, Cypriniformes, Cyprinidae. The record is from Ensembl.